UAUUGUUAUUUUGGCAGAUUAGUGCUUUAAAUUUAGAAUUUAAAUAAGUAAUUAAAAUUACAGAUAAUAC
This 70-nucleotide transfer RNA is filed under the name Aulacochthebius sp. MNCN AI548. RNAcentral's name for it is "transfer RNA-Leu". Lineage: Eukaryota; Metazoa; Arthropoda; Insecta; Coleoptera; Hydraenidae. The record is from RNAcentral.